UACGGAGGGUGCGAGCGUUGUCCGGAAUCAUUGGGCGUAAAGGGCGCGUAGGUGGCGGGACAAGCGUGCGGUGAAAGCUCGGGGCUCAACCCCGAGUCGGCCGUGCGAACUGUCUUGCUUGAGCACUGUAGAGGCAGGCGGAAUUCCGGGUGUAGCGGUGGAAUGCGUAGAGAUCCGGAAGAACACCGGUGGCGAAGGCAAUCCCCUGGGCCUGCACUGACGCUCAUGCACGAAAGCGUGGGGAGCAAACAGG
RNAcentral lists this ribosomal RNA (253 nucleotides) under uncultured bacterium. Its description in RNAcentral is "partial 16S ribosomal RNA". It matches the Rfam family "Bacterial small subunit ribosomal RNA", at positions 524 to 776 of the family's 1533-position model. The record is from RNAcentral.